UAAUGCCCUCAAGGCCUAUAGGUAUUAAACAAAUAACUGAAUUGAAAAUUUCUUCUUUUUUGUGUAAAUCACAGAUUGCUAUGAGAGUGACUACCCAACAAUGUUGGUGUUAUGGAAGACAUUACAGUCUCAAGGAAUAAUUGGUUGAGAGUCAUGAAAGUAAGGAUGGCAUACUUCAAUGCACAAAUCAAAUUACCUGGAUAAAUGGGAAAUAAUACUCCCAGGGAAAACAGAUUCUUUCUCAAGAGGGAGCAAGUGGAUAACUGCUUUAGAAUGAUGGCAUCAACGAAUCAUAAGCCCGCAUGCUAUGGAUGUUCUUAUAAUUCAGAUUCACAACUAAUCUGGAAAAUGUAUUUGGAGUGAACUGGGCUUCUGAAAAAAAUGAUUGUUGGUUAGCAGAACAAGUAUUUUGCUAGCAGUGCAGCAGACGUUUUCUUCUUGGUGACAUGUGAGAGUGGGUGGUGAGUAUUUCAGAUCAGAACAUUGAGUUCUUGUGAACAAAGAAUGUAUAAUGCCUGGAUUUACUUUUUUUUUUUUCUCUUUUUUCCCUUAGAUUGGCCAUCAUACAGCCUUUCAGAAUUAAAUGUCAACCCCUCUUCAAAAAAAAAAAAAAAAAAAAAAAAAAAAAAAAAGCAAUACUACAUACCUUGACUACAGAUAACUUUAUAACAGAUUAUUUCAUUAUGCUUUAUUUUCUUUGGAGAAUAAUUCCAAAAUAUUUAAUCAGACAAUUAUUAAAUUAUAAUUUCUCAUUUCUGAAGAUAAUAUAAAAUGAGAUUAUAGUUGGUUAUCAUUAAAUGCAUUUAUCACAGCCUCAGGAAAUAUUUCUUCUUUUAUAUUUAGAGGAAAGCAUAUGUAAGAGUAUGGAAAAGGACAUCUCUAAAGUCAGGAAGAGUUGCACAUCCUCAAAGAAGACCAGAUUCAAUAUAUAAAUUAAAAAUUUGUUUUGGGAUCCCUGUGUGGCUCAGCAUUUUGGCGCCUGCCUUCAGCCCAGGCCGUGAUCCUGGAGUCCUUGGGUCAAGUCCCGCAUCAGACCCCCUGAAUGGAGCCUGCUUCUCCCUCUGCCUGUGUCUCUGCCUCUCUCUGUGUGUCUCUCAUGAAUAAAUAAAUAAAUAAAAUCUUUAAAAAAAAGUUUCAAUUUUUUUCAUUUGUGUGAAUGACUUAUACAUUAAAACAAGAACUCACUUUGAGACCACAUGAUUUUUAAGGAAACAACAACUAUAUAUAUAUAUAUAUAUAUAUAUCUUUAUACAUAUCUUUAAU
This 1263-nucleotide long non-coding RNA is filed under the name Canis lupus familiaris (dog). Its description in RNAcentral is "lncRNA (ENSCAFG00845006662.1)". Lineage: Eukaryota; Metazoa; Chordata; Mammalia; Carnivora; Canidae. The record is from RNAcentral.